This 386-nucleotide small RNA is filed under the name Histoplasma capsulatum. RNAcentral's name for it is "hypothetical RNA". RNAcentral also lists the same sequence under 1 other name. The record is from RNAcentral. Lineage: Eukaryota; Fungi; Ascomycota; Eurotiomycetes; Onygenales; Ajellomycetaceae.
GUGGCAGACGUUUGGAUAGCGCGAUAUUGCAGGGACAGGGUGAACAUGUAUUUAAAGGUUUGAUCAUUAAGGUAAAGGAAAAUACCUUCUUCUAGUUCUGCAUCUAUGACUGGAGCCUUACCCGAACAGGCACGCUAAACCGGAAGGGGAAUUCAGUGAGGUCGGGUUGUACGGGGUACAUAUCCCAUGCAUUGUAGGCAGCAUGAAUUAAAUGCAUGUAAUUGCCGAUGCGAGGACCCUGAACAAGCAAAGCAUUCAAGAAGGCCGCUCGCAAAGAGUCUGAAUAUCCUUUCCUUUAUAUAUAUAUAUAUAUAUAUUUAAUACAUAUAAAGUAAAAAAUAAAUAAAUAAAUAAAUAAAAAUAAGAUAAAAAUAAACUAAAGAUAA